UAGUGGCGGACGGGUGAGUAACGCGUGGGAAUCCGCCCUCAGGAGGGGGAUAACGGUUGGAAACGACCGCUAAUACCCCAUAUGCCGAGAGGUGAAACGAAAUUCGCCUGAGGAUGAGCCCGCGUCUGAUUAGCUAGUUGGUGGGGUAAAGGCCUACCAAGGCAUCGAUCAGUAGCUGGUCUGAGAGGAUGAUCAGCCACACUGGGACUGAGACACGGCCCAGACUCCUACGGGAGGCAGCAGUGGGGAAUUUUCCGCAAUGGGCGCAAGCCUGACGGAGCAACGCCGCGUGAGGGAUGAAGGCCUCUGGGCUGUAAACCUCUUUUCUCAAGGAAGAAGAACUGACGGUACUUGAGGAAUAAGCCACGGCUAA
This 373-nucleotide ribosomal RNA is filed under the name uncultured bacterium. RNAcentral describes it as "bacterial SSU rRNA". It matches the Rfam family "Bacterial small subunit ribosomal RNA", at positions 93 to 500 of the family's 1533-position model. The record is from RNAcentral.